Saccostrea cuccullata (small rock oyster) is the source of this 933-nucleotide long non-coding RNA. RefSeq lists it as uncharacterized. The transcript is spliced from 3 exons. Lineage: Eukaryota; Metazoa; Mollusca; Bivalvia; Ostreida; Ostreidae. The record is from RefSeq and is a predicted model, not a curated record.
AAAAUUGUAUUUUCAGUGAAAAAUUAUUCAGAUAGUGUUUGUAAUUUUUUUAAACAGAAAUCUUGGAAAUUCGAAACUAACGUAUUUCUUAGCUCUACCGUACAUUUUUGAAUAGGCGCAAACUUGAAAACGCGCGAGACGUUGGAAGUGGGAAUUUGUAGAGUGGAAGAAUCAGUAUUUGUGAUCUAUUAUUUGCAUAAUCACUGUGCCGUUUUCGUAUUGCAUAAUUUUAUUUCGAUCGGGUUCAAUAUUCUGUUUAUACUAAUUAUGGUAGCCAUGCGGUUUGCCUGGCGUUUUGGUUGUUAAGUUUGGUGAUGUUGGCCUCCCUAAGGAUUUUUCACCCUCUCACAAGGUGUGUCCAAUAAACAGUACAGUCACUGAUCUUUGUCAACUUUUUAAGAAAAUAACAGAAUAUGAAGAAGGAAGACUAUAUAUAGGAUCAAUCUACUUCAUAACUGGAAAAAGAGAAGCAGUUCACAAAUGUUGAUGAGCAGAAGACAAGAAACUCUGGCUGCACAAAAAUCUGAGCUCUUGAAAAAGAAAGAUAAAAAGAAAUGAAAAUAUGAAUGAUAUUCAAUCAAAGGAUCCAAAUGAUGAAAUUCUGGAAAUUCCAGAUGGAGAGACAAUAAGGAUUUUUGAAUUGACCAUCUCUGCUCAAACUGCUUGAAAGCACUGAAAACUGUUACCCUGGUGCUGAACAAACUUUUCUCCUAGACUGGAAUUAAAAACUGUUCAAUUUCUGGCAUUAAAACACAAUUUGAAACAUGCUGAGGAUUAGGAUCCCCCUCUCCUUUUGACCAAGUAAGGUUAAACAUUCUGCAAAGAGUUGCAUUUGAAUUGAAAUUUUUUAUACUUAUACCAGGAAUGAACUACAUUUCUCAUUUACUAUGGUUUAAUGUGUCAGAAUUGUCUAUUUUAAGUUUUUCAACAAAG